Molecule: ribosomal RNA, 377 nt
Filed under: uncultured bacterium
Lineage: Bacteria
Description: bacterial SSU rRNA
Rfam family: Bacterial small subunit ribosomal RNA
Source: RNAcentral
UAAUACGUAGGGAGCGAGCGUUGUCCGAAGUUACUGGGCGUAAAGCGCGCGUAGGCGGGCCGUUAAGUGAGAGGUGAAAUUCCAGGGCUCAACCCCGGAACUGCCUCUCAUACUGUCGGUCUUGAGUGAGGUAGAGAGAAGUGGAAUGGCUGGUGUAGCGGUGAAAUGCGUAGAUAUCAGUCGGAACACCGGUGGCGAAGGCGGCUUCUUGGGCCUUUACUGACGCUGAGGCGCGAAAGCCAGGGGAGCGAACGGGAUUAGAUACCCCGGUAGUCCUGGCCGUAAACGAUGGAUACUAGGUGUAGGGGGUAUCGACCCCUCCUGUGCCGCAGCUAACGCAUUAAGUAUCCCGCCUGGGGAGUACGGCCGCAAGGUUG